UACGUAGGGUGCGAGCGUUAAUCGGAAUUACUGGGCGUAAAGCGUGCGCAGGCGGUUUUGUAAGACCGGUGUGAAAUCCCCGGGCUUAACCUGGGAACUGCAUUUGUGACUGCAUAGCUAGAGUACGGUAGAGGGGGAUGGAAUUCCGCGUGUAGCAGUGAAAUGCGUAGAUAUGCGGAGGAACACCGAUGGCGAAGGCAAUCCCCUGGACCUGUACUGACGCUCAUGCACGAAAGCGUGGGGAGCAAACAGG
RNAcentral lists this ribosomal RNA (253 nucleotides) under uncultured bacterium. RNAcentral describes it as "partial 16S ribosomal RNA". It matches the Rfam family "Bacterial small subunit ribosomal RNA", at positions 524 to 776 of the family's 1533-position model. The record is from RNAcentral.